UGGGGAAUUUUGGACAAUGGGCGAAAGCCUGAUCCAGCAAUGCCGCGUGUGUGAAGAAGGCCUUCGGGUUGUAAAGCACUUUUGUCCGGAAAGAAAUCCUCUGGGUUAAUACCUCGGGGGGAUGACGGUACCGGAAGAAUAAGCACCGGCUAACUACGUGCCAGCAGCCGCGGUAAUACGUAGGGUGCAAGCGUUAAUCGGAAUUACUGGGCGUAAAGCGUGCGCAGGCGGUUUUGUAAGACGGAUGUGAAAUCCCCGGGCUUAACCUGGGAACUGCAUUCGUGACUGCAAGGCUAGAGUAUGGCAGAGGGGGGUAGAAUUCCACGUGUAGCAGUGAAAUGCGUAGAGAUGCGGAGGAAUACCGAUGGCGAAGGCAGCCCCCUGGGCCAAUACUGACGCUCAUGCACGAAAGCGUGGGGAGCAAACA
This 427-nucleotide ribosomal RNA is filed under the name uncultured bacterium. RNAcentral describes it as "bacterial SSU rRNA". It matches the Rfam family "Bacterial small subunit ribosomal RNA", at positions 355 to 774 of the family's 1533-position model. The record is from RNAcentral.